RNAcentral lists this ribosomal RNA (773 nucleotides) under uncultured Neocallimastigales. RNAcentral's name for it is "partial large subunit ribosomal RNA". It matches the Rfam family "Eukaryotic large subunit ribosomal RNA", at positions 18 to 605 of the family's 3401-position model. Lineage: Eukaryota; Fungi; Neocallimastigomycota; Neocallimastigomycetes; Neocallimastigales. The record is from RNAcentral.
UCAGACGAUGCGUCAUGCAUAUCAAUAAGCGGAGGAAAAGAAACUAACAAGGAUUCCCUUAGUAACGGCGAGUGAAGCGGGAAGAGCUCAAAUUUGAAAUCUUCAAGGUUUUACCUUGACGAAUUGUAGUUUAAAGAAGUGUUUUCUGUUGAAGUUUUGGUAAAAGUUCUUUGGAAUAGGACAUCAUAGAGGGUGAGAAUCUCGUAUUUGACCAUUAUUUUCAGCUGUGUGAUACACUUUCAAAGAGUCGGAUUGUUUGGGAAUGCAGUCCAAAAUGGGUGGUAAAUUUCAUCUAAAGCUAAAUAUUGGCGAGAGACCGAUAGCGAACAAGUACCAUGAGGGAAAGAUGAAAAGAACCUUGAAAAGAGAGUUAAACAGUACGUGAAAUUGUCAAAAGGGAAGCGUUUGACACCAGUGUUGUUUUCUCGAAAAUCAAUUAAAAAGAGUUAGAUUUUGUUGUGUAUUGACCUUAACAGCUUGCAUUUCAAUUUUCUUGCUUUUUUUAAUGCACUUUUCGUUUAACAAGUCAACAUCAGUUUCUUUUGUUGUAAAAAGGUCAUUGGAAGGUGGCUUUCUUUUCGGAGAAAGUGUUUAUAGCCUUUGACUCCUGCAAUCGGAGAGACUGAGGUCUGCAGCGUAGAUCCUUCGGGGUUAGAUACAUUUGUGCUAAGUUAUAGCUUUUUAUAGACAACUUGUUGACUAUGAUUAGUCUUGUAGCUUACUCGCUUAUGCUAUUUUACCUACGCUUAGGAUGUUGAGUCGUAGAGCACGCA